RNAcentral lists this ribosomal RNA (419 nucleotides) under bacterium. RNAcentral describes it as "partial 16S ribosomal RNA". It matches the Rfam family "Bacterial small subunit ribosomal RNA", at positions 355 to 776 of the family's 1533-position model. The record is from RNAcentral.
UGGGGGAUAUUGCACAAUGGGCGAAAGCCUGAUGCAGCGACGCCGCGUGGGGGAUGAAGGCUUUCGGGUUGUAAACCUCUUUCGCUAUCGAACAAGGCCCGCUUGGGUGGGUUGAGGGUAGGUGGAGAAGAAGCGCCGGCUAACUACGUGCCAGCAGCCGCGGUAAUACGUAGGGCGCGAGCGUUGUCCGGAAUUAUUGGGCGUAAAGGGCUUGUAGGCGGCUUGUUGCGCCUGCUGUGAAAACGCGGGGCUUAACUUCGCGCGUGCAGUGGGUACGGGCAGGCUUGAGUGUGGUAGGGGUGACUGGAAUUCCAGGUGUAGCGGUGGAAUGCGCAGAUAUCUGGAGGAACACCGAUGGCGAAGGCAGGUCACUGGGCCAUUACUGACGCUGAGGAGCGAAAGCAUGGGUAGCGAACAGG